RNAcentral lists this ribosomal RNA (253 nucleotides) under uncultured bacterium. RNAcentral describes it as "partial 16S ribosomal RNA". It matches the Rfam family "Bacterial small subunit ribosomal RNA", at positions 524 to 776 of the family's 1533-position model. The record is from RNAcentral.
UACGUAGGGUGCGAGCGUUAAUCGGAAUUACUGGGCGUAAAGCGUGCGCAGGCGGUUUCUUAAGCCAGAUGUGAAAUCCCCGGGCUUAACCUGGGAACUGCAUUUGGAACUGGGAGACUAGAGUGCGUCAGAGGGGGGUGGAAUUCCACGUGUAGCAGUGAAAUGCGUAGAGAUGUGGAGGAACACCGAUGGCGAAGGCAGCCCCCUGGGAUGACACUGACGCUCAUGCACGAAAGCGUGGGGAGCAAACAGG